GACGAACGCUGGCGGCGUGCUUAACACAUGCAAGUCGAACGGAAAGGCCCUGCUUUUGUGGGGUGCUCGAGUGGCGAACGGGUGAGUAACACGUGAGUAACCUGCCCUUGACUUUGGGAUAACUUCAGGAAACUGGGGCUAAUACCGGAUAGGAGCUCCUGCUGCAUGGUGGGGGUUGGAAAGUUUCGGCGGUUGGGGAUGGACUCGCGGCUUAUCAGCUUGUUGGUGGGGUAGUGGCUUACCAAGGCUUUGACGGGUAGCCGGCCUGAGAGGGUGACCGGGCCCAGUGGAGUACGGGGGCGACCAGGGGGGAAGCUGGAGCCAGCGGGGGGGCAUUGUGCAAGAUGGGCGGAGGGCGGAAGGAGGGACUCCGGGUUGGGGACGGCGGCUUUCGGGGAGGAAAUCCUUUUGGCCAGUAACGAGGCGUGAUGGAGGGACAUGAAUAAAGAGGAACGGCUAAAUAACGG
This 467-nucleotide ribosomal RNA is filed under the name uncultured bacterium. RNAcentral's name for it is "partial 16S ribosomal RNA". It matches the Rfam family "Bacterial small subunit ribosomal RNA", at positions 28 to 492 of the family's 1533-position model. The record is from RNAcentral.